This is an RNA transcript of Pteropus alecto (black flying fox), 4558 nucleotides long. It is a transcript of the gene named calcium release activated channel regulator 2A, with no coding region annotated. The transcript has 16 exons. The record is from RefSeq and is a predicted model, not a curated record. NCBI's taxonomy places the organism in Eukaryota, Metazoa, Chordata, Mammalia, Chiroptera, Pteropodidae.
CCACCCAGGCUCCCUGGCAAUGUGAGGUCUCCUGCCCGCCCGGACACCACCGCGCCGUGCGUGCAGAUCCCGGAGGGCGCCCAGGGGUUGGCGGCCGGCAGCGCGGGCUCCCGGGCGCCGCCUCCACUUCUACGCCGCCAGAGACUAGUCCAGCCCGUUCGGGUUCCGGGCAGAGAGACAGUCAGGCGGAGCGGCCCGCGGGGCAGGCGGCUACCUGACAGCUGUGAGCCGAGCCGAGCAGCAGCGCCAGCAGAUAGAAGGGAAGGCGGCAAACCCCAAGGUCCAGCCCUGACCACAGCUGCCCUUCAGGAGACUGGCCUGGAGCCUAAUCAGGUCAUCAGAUUGCUUGUUGAGGGUGGGGCAGCAGCGACUUGUACUGUUCCUCAUGAACUCAGCCUGGGGCUCCAUCUGGCACUCAGCACGGCCACGUCUCAUCUUAAGGUUCUGAAAAGACUUGAAGAAAUUGACAUCACUGGAUGGCUACCCCUGGCCAGAAUGUGGCCUCUAGACUCCAGAGACCUGCCCAGGGACCAAAGGAGAGUGAGGCCUGCCUGGGUCCCUUGGACAACCUGGAGUGUAAGGAGACCCAGGAGCUGAUGCUGACAAGGCUGGCCAUGCAGAGGAAGGCACAGGAAUUUUUCCAGACCUGUGAUGCAGGGGGCAAGGGCUUCAUUGCCAGGAGGGAUAUGCAGAGGCUCCAUAAGGAGUUGCCACUCAGCCUGGAGGACCUGGAGGAUGUAUUUGAUGCCCUGGAUGCUGACGGCAAUGGCUUUCUGACCCCAGAGGAGUUCACCACCGGUUUUAGUCAGUUCUUCUUCAGCCAGAAUAAGCCAACUCAGGAAGAUGCAGGUGAACAGGUGGCUCAGCUCCAGGAAGAGAAGGUAUAUCAAUCCAGAGGAGAAGAGGAACUGGGUGGCAUGGAUGAAGAUGAGGAAGCCCAGUUCCAGAUGCUGAUGGACAAGCUUGGAGCACAAAAGGUUUUAGAAGAUGAAAGUGAUGUCAAGCAACUCUGGCUGCAGCUGAAGAAGGAUGAACCUCACUUACUGUCCAACUUCGAGGAUUUCCUGGCCAGAAUCUUCUCCCAGCUCCAAGAGGCUCAUGAGGAGAAGAACGAACUGGAGUGCGCCCUGAAAAAGAAAAUUGCUGCUUAUGAUGAAGAAAUCCAGCAUCUCUAUGAGGAGAUGGAACAGCAAAUCAAAAGUGAGAAGGAGCAGUUUCUCCUGAAAGACACGGAGAGGUUUCAGGCCCGCAGUCAGGAGCUGGAACAGAAGCUAUUAGCUAAGGAGCAGGAGUUGGAGCAGCUCAUCCAGAAGCAGAAGCGGCUGGAAGGCCAGUGCGCAGCCCUGCAUAAUGACAAGCAUGAAACCAAGGCUGAGAAUACCAAGCUGAAGCUCACCAACCAGGAGCUGGCCCAGGAGCUGGAACGGACCUCCCGGGAGCUGCAGGAUGCUCAGCAGCAGCUAGACAGCCUCCAGCAAGAAGCCCGCAAACUCCACCAGGAGAAGGAGAUGGAAGUGUACCGCGUGACAGAGAGUCUGCAGCGGGAGAAGUCGGGGCUCCUGAAGCAGCUGGAUUUCCUGAGGGAAAGGAACAAGCACCUUCGGGAUGAACGGGACAUACAUUUUCAGAAAGAUAAGACAGCCAAGGCAAACACAGCUGCUUCCAAGGCAAGCUGGAAACAGAGAUCUGGCUCUGUGAUAGGCAAAUAUGUGGACGGCAGAGGGAUUCUUAGAAGGGAGUCAGAGGAAGAAGAAGAUGUGUUUGGCAUGCCGAAGAGUAGAAGCUCCUUGGGCCUGAGUGGAUAUCCCCUUACAGAAGAGGAGUCAGGAUCUAGGGCUGGGGGUCCACUCCCCCGGGCAUUCCGCAGAAUCAUCUCCAUUGAAGAAGAUCCCCUGCCCCAGCUCCUGGAUGGCAGCCUUGAGCAGCCACUGAGCAAAUGCCCAGAAGAGGAGGAGGUCUCCAGCCAGCAAGUGGAAGGACAAAUCCAGCAGGCCCAACCUUCUCAGCUGGAACUCACGCCCACAUCUCCCCGAGGGCAGCCUGUUGGGAAAGAAGCUCUGUCUAAGGAGGAAGAAUCUCCCUCCACUCCGGACCGGCUCUUCAAGAUUGUGUUUGUGGGCAACUCUGCCGUAGGGAAGACAUCUUUCCUGAGGAGAUUCUGUGAGGACCAGUUCUCCCCGGGUUUGACAGCCACUGUGGAUGGGUCUCUUCCCACGUGCUUCAGGAUGUCGUUCUUACUGCAGGACCUUUUUCUAUGCUGUUAUAGUGUCUGGAACAACUUCCUGUCCCUUUCCUUCUGCCCAAUUCUACCCAACGACUGAGAGCAUCCCAAGAUGAAGAAUCAGGACCCUGAAGGAAAAAAAGGCAGAGCCUGUGAACCAAGCCCAGAAGAGUCUGGCCUUGUCGGGCCUGCACUGGAAUGGCUGGGAAUGAGCCAUGUGCGCCGAGCGUGGUAACACAGGAAGCAAUGGCUGUGGGAGACGGGCUUGCUUCCCAGGAGAGCAUUCAGUAGGGUGGGCCCCCACAAGUCAUGGCUCAAGCACUGACCUUUGGGAGGCAGGGAGACAGAUGUUGAAACCUCAGGCCCUUGAAGAUACCCCUCCAAGAAGUGUGCCCAUAGGUGCAGCUCUUGCUGAUAAAAUUGGGGAAUCAGGGAAUCAGUUUUCAGGGUCCCUUUACAUUUCCAGCUUGUGCCCCUGAGAUGGAAGGCUCUGAAAAGAGAAAAUCAAACUAAUUUGCACUUCCCAGGAGGCCAUUUAUGGAAAUACCUACAGGUUAGGAAGGGGAAAAAUAUCAAAGUUUCCAAAUCAGUAAUGACCUUCAUCAUACAUGCAGGAGCAGCAGCUUAAGUUACUGUUCCUGCCACGCAACAUGCCCGGUACACAUGUCAGUAAGCAGAGUCACACCAGCCACCUGAUGUGAUCUGAAUAUUUAUCCUGAGCUUUUAUAUCCAUCAUUUCAAUCUAUCUGAACACAACCCUGGAAAGCAAGUAAAGCCACAGAGUCCUGGCUUUUUGGAGCCAAAGUGGUCCAACCCUAGAUUGGGGUUCUAGACAACCAUCUGCCAGGGAAGCAGCCCCUGCACCAUCCACACAGUACUAACAGGGACUUGGCAAUCCUGUAAAGCUCACCUCUAUCAUCAAAGGGGACUUCCUGGUCUCCCACUUCCUUGUGAGAACAUGAUUUGUACUUGACUCCUGGCUUGUGCAUAAUGUAAGUUCUAUAAUACAACAGUGACUUGAGCAUCCUGUGUACACCACCUUAAGACCAGAUGAUUCCUUCAGAAGCAGGAGCCCUGUGGGUGUCCUGGAGAUGUCAAAUGAUGAUUUUUGUAGACUAUUGGAGCUCAUGUUCGACAUGACUAAUUAUUAGAGGCUAAAGCUCCCUGGAACCCAGGACUCCGAGUCCAGUGCUCUCUCCACUACACCAUGCUGGUUCAUAGCCCCCUGCUCUAAAUCACGGGUCACAACCCAAAGUGUUUCUUCCAAAAGCUUUUCUGAAAAGAAUUCACUCUGCCCUUUCUUGGUCGCCAAUUCAGUUUCUACCCCCAUCUCUACAGAGAAAUCCCUAGAGUUUUCUCCAUGACAACUAGCAGGCACUCUCACUCCCACAUUCCUCCUUCUCUAAAUGACAGCUUGAGCCUAACUUGUCCAGGGAGCCAGGUGGAUCCUGGAGUACUGGAAAAACAGGUUCUGCCCUGUGGUAAGUCUGGUGAGAGUCACUGUCCCCAAACAUGUACUUCUCUCUGCAGCCUCAGGCCCAGGAAGCAGAUAAGCCCAUGGGGGUGGGGGGGGCGGUGGAGGAGUAGGAGACACAAGAAGUCAAAUCCAACAGAAAAGCAACACAAUAAUGUGGAACCUGAACUACACUGACUUCUAAGACCACCACUAGUUCUAACAUCUCAGGAGCCAAGCGACCGUGUUGUGUGUUCCUGGCUCCCUGCAAGACAAGCUCCCUGUCCUCAAGCAAAGCAAUGAGGUAGAGCAAGACCAGAAGGCAGCUGAGACCUGGCUGCCCCUCUCCCUGCAAGCCUUUCCAUCAAGAAGAGAUCUCUGUCCUCAGGGCUUUGCAGCUUGGCCUGGUUUUAGAUCAGGCCCUAAAGAUGUAUUGUCAGUGGUUGGCUUUCUCCUGAGUUGUUAUCAGAAAGUAGGCAGCCCCUUCAGUCUCCCAGAGCACAGACUAGGGAAACCCUUACUUACCCUUUUAGCUGAGAAGAAAACCCACCUUGGAUUCAUCUGUCAACCAGUUAUAAUCCAUUUGGAUGGGAGCACUUAGCUGUAGACUUCCUGGUGAAAUGAAACUGCCAGGUGUCUCUGUGCCCAGGGUACUGGUGUGAAAAGAAGAAUGAGCCUCAAGACACACUGCAGCUGCUGACCAGCUUGGGCAAAGCAUGCCAUUUCUGGACUCCUGUUUCUUCAUCUCUCAUUGAUGCGACAAAUGCACUGCUUUCUCUGGCCCUCAUCUGUGACAUACAGAGCUUCUGGACUCCCUGCUGAUCCUGAUGUUCUAGGAGAGAUGACCCUCCAGCCUCUCUCCCACACCUGGGCCCCUAAUGUAC